This 1015-nucleotide long non-coding RNA is filed under the name Helianthus annuus (common sunflower). Lineage: Eukaryota; Viridiplantae; Streptophyta; Magnoliopsida; Asterales; Asteraceae. The record is from RNAcentral.
UUUUAUACUCAUACUAUUUCCAUCCAUUGUUUAAAUUAUGGGAUUAUCAGGUUGUUACUAUGAAAGUGAUUUGGAUAAGCUGGGGUUCCUUUUUCUGCAUAGCAGAGUCCGAGUUUGAGGAAAUGUUCAUUCUCUAUGUACUCUUCUAAUAAAUAUGCUCAUGGAAAUUGACGGGUUUCAACAAAUGAGGGGAUAAUUCUAAUGGCUGCAACAAAUUUUCCUGAUAUUUUCGAUCCAGCUUUAAUAAGACCUCGUAGAUUUAAUAGUUGUUAAAUAUAUAUUUGGAUCACAAGUAUGAUGUUAGACUGUUAGUUCACCAGUAUGAUUUGGGGUAAAUAUAUAUUUGGAUCAGAAUUCUGUUUAAUUUGGCGAUGCUCGGUCUGGGAUAUGGUAGAGUUUUUCUUAUAGUAGUGGGAACUCCAAGAAUGGCAAGAAAGCUAUUCAUUUGGUGGCACUAGCGACUUUAUGGACGGUGUGGUUGGUAAGGAAGGAGCUGGUGUUCAAUAGAAGAGGGCUGAUCUGGAUUAGUUAACAUAGGUGAAUGAUGUGCGAAUGAUCCAACAAGUUGAUUUUAACGUAGGCAUAAGUGGGAGAGAGGACCUACAGGCAGCGAGGGUGCUGAUUAUAGGAUGUCGGGAGAUGGAAUGACGAAGAGGAUGUCGGGUUUUGGGUGCAGAACAGGUUGGAUGCAUAUAGAAUUACCAGAAUGGGAGGGUCUUCAAUGGAUCAAACAAAUCGUUUUACAACCUGGUGGAAGAAAUAAAGGAGGUCGCGUAUGCUUGGGUGUAGAACAGGUCAGAUGCGUAUGGUGUAGCCUGGGAGAACUCGAGGCGUUUUGAUUUAUCAUUCUAAUUUAGUUCUUUGUACAGAAAAUAUGGUGUGUCCCAGGUUAUGUGGUUUAUUUUCAUCAAGACAUUGUUGUUGAAUUGAAUGAGAUGGUUGAUGUAAUGUGGUCGUAUUAAUAACAAAUAGUAAUUAAUAUAACUAAGUUUCCUGAGCCUGGGAAGCAAUCCCG